UUUCAGGUCUGUGGUUGAAAGUCGAGGCCAGACGCAGGCGAAGCGAUCCACAUAACCCGGAAAAAUUCCGGCGAGCAUGGUGCGUUUUAGAAGUAAGUCCGUCCGGGUCAUGUGCCCGAGAGGAGUAGUAGUGGGGAGGCAAGGGCCUUAGGAGCGAACCUUCCAGGCGGCGAGUGUGGGGGCAAAGACCAGGUCAGCUGAA
Molecule: non-coding RNA, 202 nt
Filed under: pig gut metagenome
Description: raiA RNA
Rfam family: raiA RNA
Source: RNAcentral